Molecule: non-coding RNA, 89 nt
Filed under: marine eukaryotic metagenome
Source: RNAcentral
AGUAAGAUGCCGGAUGCGCAAUCGGGCUAUGAAAAAGCGCUGAACACGUGGUGACCGCAAAUUCCGGCGCAAACCUUGUUUACGAGGCC